CCUACGGGAGGCAGCAGUGGGGAAUAUUGCGCAAUGGGCGAAAGCCUGACGCAGCGACGCCGCGUGAGGGAUGAAGGUCUUCGGAUCGUAAACCUCUGUCAGCAGGGAAGAACGGACACGGGGCUAAUCAGCAGUGAAUUGACGGUACCUGCAAAGGAAGCACCGGCUAACUCAGUGCCCGCAGCCGCGGUAAUCCGGAGGGGGCGAGCGUUAAUCGGAAUUACGGGGCGUAACGCGCGCGGAGGCGGUAUGUCAAGUCAAGGGUGAAAUCCCCGCGCUCAACGUGGGAACUGCCUUUGAACCUGGCAAACUGGAGUGUGUGAGAGGCUAGUGGACUUCCCGGUGU
This 346-nucleotide ribosomal RNA is filed under the name uncultured bacterium. RNAcentral describes it as "partial 16S ribosomal RNA". It matches the Rfam family "Bacterial small subunit ribosomal RNA", at positions 338 to 676 of the family's 1533-position model. The record is from RNAcentral.